Molecule: ribosomal RNA, 253 nt
Filed under: uncultured bacterium
Lineage: Bacteria
Description: partial 16S ribosomal RNA
Rfam family: Bacterial small subunit ribosomal RNA
Source: RNAcentral
UACGUAGGGGGCGAGCGUUGUCCGGAAUCAUGGGGCGUAAAGCGCGUGUAGGCGGCCCGGUAAGUCCGCUGUGAAAGUCCAGGGCUCAACCCUGGGAUGCCGGUGGAUACUGUCGGGCUCGAGUCCGGAAGAGGCGAGUGGAAUUCCUGGUGUAGCGGUGAAAUGCGCAGAUAUCAGGAGGAACACCAAUGGCGAAGGCAGCUCGCUGGGACGUGACUGACGCUGAGACGCGAAAGCGUGGGGAGCAAACAGG